Molecule: ribosomal RNA, 498 nt
Filed under: uncultured bacterium
Lineage: Bacteria
Description: partial 16S ribosomal RNA
Rfam family: Bacterial small subunit ribosomal RNA
Source: RNAcentral
AUUGAACGCUGGCGGCAUGCCUUACACAUGCAAGUCGGACGGUAACAGGUCUUCGGAUGCUGACGAGUGGCGAACGGGUGAGUAAUACAUCGGAACGUGCCUAGUAGUGGGGGAUAACUACUCGAAAGAGUGGCUAAUACCGCAUGAGAUCUACGGAUGAAAGCAGGGGAUCGCAAGACCUUGUGCUACUAGAGCGGCCGAUGGAAGAUUAGGUAGUUGGAGGGAUAAAAGCUUACCAAGCCGACGAUCUGUAGCUGGUCUGAGAGGACGAUCAGCCACACUGGGACUGAGACACGGCCCAGACUCCUACGGGAGGCAGCAGUGGGGAAUUUUGGACAAGGGGCGCAAGCCUGAUCCAGCAAUGCCGCGUGCAGGAUGAAGGCCUUCGGGUUGUAAACUGCUUUUGUACGGAACGAAAAGCCCUGGGUUAAUACCCUGGGGUCAUGACGGUACCGUAAGAAUAAGCACCGGCUAACUACGUGCCAGCCGCCGCCGUAA